UAGCUCAGUGAUAGAGCGCAUGCUUAGCAUGCACGAGGUCCUGGGUUCAAUCCCCAG
Molecule: transfer RNA, 57 nt
Filed under: Camelus bactrianus (Bactrian camel)
Lineage: Eukaryota; Metazoa; Chordata; Mammalia; Artiodactyla; Camelidae
Also listed under: 2 other names
Rfam family: tRNA
About the family: Transfer RNA (tRNA) molecules are approximately 80 nucleotides in length. Their secondary structure includes four short double-helical elements and three loops (D, anti-codon, and T loops).
Source: Rfam by way of RNAcentral